Tupaia belangeri chinensis (Chinese tree shrew) is the source of this 547-nucleotide long non-coding RNA. RefSeq lists it as uncharacterized. NCBI's taxonomy places the organism in Eukaryota, Metazoa, Chordata, Mammalia, Scandentia, Tupaiidae. The transcript is spliced from 5 exons. The record is from RefSeq and is a predicted model, not a curated record.
UGAUUGCCCCACACCUGCUUGCCUCCGCCUCCACCCUCACUGUUCUUCCAGCUUGCUCUGAGGUUGCCUGAAGAAGCCAGAUUAUGGAGAAGCUGUAUGAAAUACUGAUUCACUCAGAAAUGAACAUACCUUCCAGCAGGAGCUAGAGCUGAGCUUGAUGCUGUCUGUGGACAAGAGGAGCAGACUCUGGACCUCUGGUACACUGACCUAUUUUUCCCAACAAAAUCUACUCAGGACACUCAGGAAGCUAUCAGCUGAACUGAUAUUGGAAUAUCAGUCCUCUGGCCUCUGAAGCCUAUGUUCCUUCUGCUGCAAAAACCCUCUCAGCCCAGCUCUGUUUUUAAAAGAACAAGUCACGGGCAUGAAAUGAAGUAACAACAUGGUUUGAAAUAAAUUUGUCACAUACCAAAGCUUUAUAGCAGUACCCAAACAGAGCCGUUGAGCCAGACUACUCCAGACUGAUUCCUGUCCCAGUCUGCCGCUUCCUACUGGAACGUGACCUAGGAUGGCCUCACAAAUCAGAAAUGCUUCUCCUAACAGUCCCAGC